RNAcentral lists this ribosomal RNA (483 nucleotides) under Bathysquilla crassispinosa. RNAcentral's name for it is "partial 16S ribosomal RNA". It matches the Rfam family "Bacterial large subunit ribosomal RNA", at positions 1851 to 2570 of the family's 2925-position model. Lineage: Eukaryota; Metazoa; Arthropoda; Malacostraca; Stomatopoda; Bathysquillidae. The record is from RNAcentral.
GGUCUGGCCUGCCCACUGACUAAUAACGGUUAAAGGGCCGCGGUAUCUUGACCGUGCGAAGGUAGCAUAAUAAUUAGUCUCCUAAUUAGAGGCUUGUAUGAAUGGUCGGACAAGAUGGGAACUGUCUCGAUAUAAAAAAUAAAAUUUAAUAUUUAAGUAAAAAAGCUUAAAUAAAAUAGAGGGACGAUAAGACCCUAUAAAGCUUUAUGGUGUACUACUUUGUUACAAAAUAUAAUAAUUAAAACUUAUUGAAGUAGUGGGCAUUAUUUUACUGGGGCGGUAAAAGUAUAAAUAAUCUGAGUAACUGCUUUUAUUGUGCUAAACAAUUAUAAUUGACUUUUAAAUUGAUCCAUUACUAAUGAUCACAAGAACAAGUUACUUUAGGGAUAACAGCGUAAUUUUUUUUGAGAGUCCUCAUCGAAAAAAAAGUUUGCGACCUCGAUGUUGAAUUAAGGAAACCUUAAGGUGCAGCCGCUUUAAAGG